This 280-nucleotide unclassified non-coding RNA is filed under the name Hevea brasiliensis (rubber tree). The record is from RNAcentral. Lineage: Eukaryota; Viridiplantae; Streptophyta; Magnoliopsida; Malpighiales; Euphorbiaceae.
AACUGAGGCAAUAUCGAGUGACACAUGGCGGCCGGUGAUUGCCUGGAUCUCAAAGAGGUUGGUGGUUUUGUGAGCAUCUGUGCUCUGACCAUAAGCCACCUCGGCUCCGUCUGAGUUUUAAGCAUAUGCGCGUACAAAGUAAGUGGCGGCAGGCACGUCACGCUCGACGGUCCAUGUAAAGGAUUGGUUAUUGUUGCCAGAAGUGUAAGGCCUGGAAACGAUGGUGAAUUGGCAAGUCUUGUCCUUGGAUAGGUUGUCCUCGGUUUUUCUCCAAGCGCGG